AACCAAGUAGUGGUGUAUGGGAGAACAUGAGGGAUGGGCAGAGCCAAGUGGGCUAUUGCCGAACGGGCUAUUGCCCAAUGCAGAACCAAUGAUCCGAGUCCUUGACUCGGAAAGAUGGUCGAGGGCUGAGGAAAGGACUGAUGAGUUAAUUGUCUGUAUUCAGCCUAAUCGGCCAUCGGAGGAGCGGAGAAAUGCUGUUGCUGAUUAUGUCCAGCGGCUCAUUAUGAAAUGCUUCCCUUGUCAGGUUUUCACUUUUGGUUCAGUACCCUUGAAGACUUACCUUCCUGAUGGUGACAUUGAUUUAACUGCCUUCAGUAAUAAUCAAACUUUGAA
Molecule: unclassified non-coding RNA, 333 nt
Filed under: Hevea brasiliensis (rubber tree)
Lineage: Eukaryota; Viridiplantae; Streptophyta; Magnoliopsida; Malpighiales; Euphorbiaceae
Source: RNAcentral